GGCCUGAUACUUUAAUCAAAAGAAUCGACUUGCAUUCGAAAAAUAAGCCUCUACGGCUUUCAAGCCA
This 67-nucleotide transfer RNA is filed under the name Tylomelania sarasinorum. RNAcentral's name for it is "tRNA-Ala". Lineage: Eukaryota; Metazoa; Mollusca; Gastropoda; Pachychilidae. The record is from RNAcentral.